This 137-nucleotide small nuclear RNA is filed under the name Ostreococcus lucimarinus CCE9901. RNAcentral's name for it is "snRNA U4". It matches the Rfam family "U4 spliceosomal RNA". Rfam says of the family: U4 small nuclear RNA (U4 snRNA) is a component of the major U2-dependent spliceosome. Lineage: Eukaryota; Viridiplantae; Chlorophyta; Mamiellophyceae; Mamiellales; Bathycoccaceae. The record is from Rfam by way of RNAcentral.
AUCUUUGCGCAUGGGGUUAUAUCCAAAGCUGUGAAGUCUUAACUGAGCUUGGAAUAUUGCUGGUUGAAAACUAAAUUCCAUACCCCGUGACGGUCGCGCACGCGUCGUCACGAAUUUCUGCAGGCGCACCACACGCG